AGCUUGCUUUCUUGCUGACGAGUGGCGGACGGGUGAGUAAUGCUUGGGAAUCUGGCUUAUGGAGGGGGAUAACGACGGGAAACUGUCGCUAAUACCGCGUAGUGUCGAGAGACGAAAGUGCGGGACUGAGAGGCCGCAUGCCAUAGGAUGAGCCCAAGUGGGAUUAGGUAGUUGGUGGGGUAAAGGCCUACCAAGCCUGCGAUCUCUAGCUGGUCUGAGAGGAUGACCAGCCACACUGGAACUGAGACACGGUCCAGACUCCUACGGGAGGCAGCAGUGGGGAAUAUUGCGCAAUGGGGGGAACCCUGACGCAGCCAUGCCGCGUGAAUGAAGAAGGCCUUCGGGUUGUAAAGUUCUUUCGGUAUUGAGGAAGGUUGAUGUGUUAAUAGCACAUCAAAUUGACGUUAAAUACAGAAGAAGCACCGGCUAACUCCGUGCCAGCAGCCGCGGUAAUACGGAGGGUGCGAGCGUUAAUCGGAAUAACUGGGCGUAAAGGGCACGCAGGCGGUUAUUUAAGUGAGGUGUGAAAGCCCUGGGCUUAACCUAGGAAUUGCAUUUCAGACUGGGUAACUAGAGUACUUUAGGGAGGGGUAGAAUUCCACGUGUAGCGGUGAAAUGCGUAGAGAUGUGGAGGAAUACCGAAGGCGAAGGCAGCCCCUUGGGAAUGUACUGACGCUCAUGUGCGAAAGCGUGGGGAGCAAACAGGAUUAGAUACCCUGGUAGUCCACGCUGUAAACGCUGUCGAUUUGGGGGUUGGGGUU
RNAcentral lists this ribosomal RNA (761 nucleotides) under uncultured Haemophilus sp. Its description in RNAcentral is "bacterial SSU rRNA". It matches the Rfam family "Bacterial small subunit ribosomal RNA", at positions 73 to 831 of the family's 1533-position model. Lineage: Bacteria; Pseudomonadati; Pseudomonadota; Gammaproteobacteria; Pasteurellales; Pasteurellaceae. The record is from RNAcentral.